AGAGUUUGAUCCUGGCUCAGAUUGAACGCUGGCGGCAUGCUUUACACAUGCAAGUCGGACGGCAGCACAGAGAAGCUUGCUUCUUGGGUGGCGAGUGGCGAACGGGUGAGUAAUAUAUCGGAACGUACCGAGUAAUGGGGGAUAACUAAUCGAAAGAUUAGCUAAUACCGCAUAUUCUCUGAGGAGGAAAGCAGGGGACCUUCGGGCCUUGCGUUAUUCGAGCGGCCGAUAUCUGAUUAGCUAGUUGGUGGGGUAAAGGCCUACCAAGGCGACGAUCAGUAGCGGGUCUGAGAGGAUGAUCCGCCACACUGGGACUGAGACACGGCCCAGACUCCUACGGGAGGCAGCAGUGGGGAAUUUUGGACAAUGGGCGCAAGCCUGAUCCAGCCAUGCCGCGUGUCUGAAGAAGGCCUUCGGGUUGUAAAGGACUUUUGUCAGGGAAGAAAAGGCUGUUGCUAAUAUCGACAGCUGAUGACGGUACCUGAAGAAUAAGCACCGGCUAACUACGUGCCAGCAGCCGCGGUAAUACGUAGGGUGCGAGCGUUAAUCGGAAUUACUGGGCGUAAAGCGAGCGCAGACGGUUACUUAAGCAGGAUGUGAAAUCCCCGGGCUCAACCUGGGAACUGCGUUCUGAACUGGGUGACUAGAGUGUGUCAGAGGGAGGUAGAAUUCCACGUGUAGCAGUGAAAUGCGUAGAGAUGUGGAGGAAUACCGAUGGCGAAGGCAGCCUCCUGGGAUAACACUGACGUUCAUGCUCGAAAGCGUGGGUAGCAAACAAGGAUUAGAUACCCUGGUAGUCCACGCCCUAAAC
RNAcentral lists this ribosomal RNA (811 nucleotides) under uncultured bacterium. Its description in RNAcentral is "bacterial SSU rRNA". It matches the Rfam family "Bacterial small subunit ribosomal RNA", at positions 8 to 807 of the family's 1533-position model. The record is from RNAcentral.